UACGAAGGGGGCUAGCGUUGUUCGGAAUUACUGGGCGUAAAGCGCACGCAGGCGGAUUGAUAAGUCAGGGGUGAAAUCCCGGGGCUCAACCUCGGAAUUGCCUUUGAUACUGUCUGUCUUCGAGUUCGGGAGAGGUUGGCGGAAUUCCUAGUGUAGAGGUGAAAUUCGUAGAUAUUAGGAAGAACACCAGUGGCGAAGGCGGCCAACUGGCCCGAUACUGACGCUCAUGUGCGAAAGCGUGGGGAGCAAACAGG
Molecule: ribosomal RNA, 254 nt
Filed under: uncultured bacterium
Lineage: Bacteria
Description: partial 16S ribosomal RNA
Rfam family: Bacterial small subunit ribosomal RNA
Source: RNAcentral